Non-coding RNA from Trichinella pseudospiralis, 45 nucleotides. Lineage: Eukaryota; Metazoa; Nematoda; Enoplea; Trichinellida; Trichinellidae. The record is from Rfam.
CCAACGGCCCUCCUGAGGGCCACAACUUUACAAAUUCUAAUGUUG